GAGUUUGAUCAUGGCUCAGGAUAAACGCUGGCGGCGCACAUAAGACAUGCAAGUCGAACGGACCAAAUUAGUUUGUUUACAAAUUAAAGAGGUUAGUGGCGGACUGGUGAGUAAUAUGUAAGCAAUCUGCCUAUUAGAGGGGAAUAACAGUGAGAAAUCAUUGCUAAUACCGCAUAUGCCAUAUAAACCACAUGGUUUAAGUGGGAAAGGAGCAAUCCGCUAAUAGAUGAGCUUACACCUGAUUAGUUAGUUGGUGGGGUAACGGCCUACCAAGACGACGAUCAGUAGCCGAACUGAGAGGUUGAACGGCCACAUUGGGACUGAGAUACGGCCCAGACUCCUACGGGAGGCAGCAGUCGGGAAUUUUGCGCAAUGGAGGAAACUCUGACGCAGUGACGCCGCGUAUAGGAAGAAGGUUUUCGGAUUGUAAACUAUUGUCGAUGGGGAAGAAAAAGGACAGUACCCAUCAAGAAAGCUCCGGCUAACUACGUGCCAGCAGCCGCGGUAAUACGUAGGGAGCAAGCGUUAUCCGGAAUUAUUGGGUGUAAAGGGUGCGUAGACGGGAAUGCAAGUCAGUUGUGAAAUCCCUCGGCUUAACUGAGGAACUGCAACUGAAACUAUGUUUCUUGAGUGCAGGAGAGGAAAGUGGAAUUCCUAGUGUAGCGGUGAAAUGCGUAGAUAUUAGGAGGAACACCAGUGGCGAAGGCGACUUUCUGGACUGUAACUGACGUUGAGGCACGAAAGUGUGGGGAGCAAACAGGAUUAGAUACCCUGGUAGUCCACACUGUAAACGAUGGAUACUAGGUGUAGGGGGUAUUAAGCCUUCUGUGCCGUCGCAAACGCAGUAAGUAUCCCACCUGGGGAGUACGACCGCAAGGUUGAAACUCAAAGGAAUUGACGGGGGCCCGCACAAGCAGUGGAGUAUGUGGUUUAAUUCGAAGCAACGCGAAGAACCUUACCAGGGCUUGACAUAUAACUGAAUUAUUAAGAGAUUAGUAAGUUCUUCGGAACAGUUAUACAGGUGGUGCAUGGUUGUCGUCAGCUCGUGUCGUGAGAUGUUGGGUUAAGUCCCGCAACGAGCGCAACCCCUGUGGUUAGUUGCCAGCACGUAAAGGUGGGAACUCUAAUCAAACUGCCGGUGAUAAAUCGGAGGAAGGUGGGGACGACGUCAAAUCAUCAUGCCCUUUAUGUCCUGGGCUACACACGUACUACAAUGGCUAUAACAAAGAGAAGCGAGAUAGUGAUAUUAAGCAAAACUCGGAAAAGUAGUCUCAGUUCGGACUGAAGGCUGAAAUUCGCCUUCAUGAAGCCGGAAUUGCUAGUAAUGGCAGGUCAGCAUACUGCCGUGAAUACGUUCCCGGGCCUUGUACACACCGCCCGUCACACCAUGAGAGUUGGGGAUACCCGAAGCCUGUGAGCCAACAUUAAGAGGCAGCAGUCGAAGGUAGAAUCAAUGAUUGGGGUGAAGUCGUAACAAGGUA
This 1481-nucleotide ribosomal RNA is filed under the name uncultured bacterium. RNAcentral describes it as "16S ribosomal RNA". It matches the Rfam family "Bacterial small subunit ribosomal RNA". The record is from RNAcentral.